GACGAACGCUGGCGGCGUGCUUAACACAUGCCAGUCGAACGGAAAGGCCCUGCUUUUGUGGGGUGCUCGAGUGGCGAACGGGUGAGUAACACGUGAGUAACCUGCCCUUGACUUUGGGAUAACUUCAGGAAACUGGGGCUAAUACCGGAUAGGAGCUCCUGCUGCAUGGUGGGGGUUGGAAAGUUUCGGCGGUUGGGGAUGGACUCGCGGCUUAUCAGCUUGUUGGUGGGGUAGUGGCUUACCAAGGCUUUGACGGGUAGCCGGCCUGAGAGGGUGACCGGCCACAUUGGGACUGAGAUACGGCGCAGACUCCUACGGGAGGCAGCAGUGGGGAGUAUUGCACAAUGGGCGGAAGCCUGAUGCAGCAACGCCGCGUGCGGGAUGACGGCCUUCGGGUUGUAAACCGCUUUCGCCUGUGACGAAGCGUGAGUGACGGUAAUGGGUAAAGAAGCACCGGCUAACUACGUG
RNAcentral lists this ribosomal RNA (468 nucleotides) under uncultured bacterium. RNAcentral's name for it is "partial 16S ribosomal RNA". It matches the Rfam family "Bacterial small subunit ribosomal RNA", at positions 28 to 507 of the family's 1533-position model. The record is from RNAcentral.